UUUUUCCAAUGUAAGACUAGAAAUAUUUGAGCUUUGUUGUAAGUGUAUUCAUUUUGCUAUAUCAGGAGAUUGUUGGCAUAUUAAUAAAGUAAGUGUGUAUUCAAGACUUUACAUAGAUAUUUACCAAAAUUUACAUGAUAUUUAUCAAAAACAUUCAGCAAUGAGUGAUGGAAUUGUGAGUUUCUCGGAUUUCAAACUAAAUUCUUGGCUUCUUACACAAUGCAAAGCUAUGGGUUUAAAGCAACCAACUGCAAUUCAACAAAAUUGCAUUCCCAGAAUACUAGGAGGUGAAGAUUGUAUAGGUUGUGCUAAGACUGGUAGUGGUAAGACUUUGGCAUUUGCCUUGCCUAUUUUGCAAAAGUUAUGUGAAGACCCUUAUGGUAUAUUUGCUCUUGUGUUAACACCAACGAGAGAGCUAGCUUUUCAGAUUGCUGAUCAAUUUGCUGCCAUUGGCAAAGCUAUCAAUUUGAAGAAAUGUGUAAUAGUUGGUGGCAUGGAUAUGAUGGUACAAGGAUUAGAGUUGUCCAAGCGACCUCAUAUAGUUGUAGCCACACCAGGUCGCCUAGCGGAUCAUUUAGAUAGCUGUAAUACAUUUUCUUUGAAGAGAAUAAAAUUUCUAGUCUUGGAUGAGGCUGAUAGACUAUUAGGUGGUCAUUUUGAUAAACAACUGAAGACAAUUUUUGCUACACUACCAGAACAGAAACAAGUAUUGUUGUUCAGUGCUACAAUGACAAAUGAUCUUGAUAAUGUAAAAAGCGUAGCUUCCAAUAAGGUAUUCAUAUGGGAAGAAAAAGAUGAUGCUGGUAUCGCUACUGUGAAGGAACUGGAUCAACGUUAUGUAUUAUGUCCUAAAGAUGUGCUUGACUCGUAUCUAGUGGAAGUAAUCAGAACGUUUUGUGCCACAAAUAAAAAUGGCUCCAUUAUGGUAUUUACUGACACAUGCAAAAAUUGUCAAUUGUUAUCGAUGGCAUUAAACGAUGUUGGAUUUACGAACGUGGCUCUCCAUGCAAUGAUCAAGCAGAAGGAACGUUUAGCUGCGUUAAAUAAGUUCAAGUCGAAUCAUGUGCAGAUCUUAAUUGCUACAGACGUUGCAGCGAGAGGUUUAGACAUUCAUGAAGUAGAAUUGGUUGUUAAUCACGUAAUACCGAACGUACCAAAAGAAUACAUUCAUAGAGUGGGUAGAACGGCUCGGGCAGGGAGGAAUGGUAUGGCGGUAAGCCUGAUAACGCCACACGAUGUGAAACUAUUACACGCGAUUGAAGACGCCAUAGGUACCAAGCUAACAGAAUAUAAAGUGGAUGACAAAGAAAUCGUUACAAUCUUGACGCAAAUAUCAGUAGCAAAACGAGAGGCGGAAAUCAAGUUGGAUGAAACAGAUUUUUUUGAAAAGAAAAUGAUUAAUAAGCGCAAAAAAUUAAUCUUGGAGGGAGAAAUCGACGCAGACAAGUAUCUAAUUCCGGAUGAAACAGAUGAAGAGAACGAAAUCAUAGAUAAAGACAAAAAAAGGAUGAAGGAUAGACAUAAGAGACAAAAGGAGAUGAAAAAGACGAAAAAACAAUUUGAAAAAUAAAGAGAAUAUCCAACAUCGGAAAAUGUAUGCUAUAUCCGUCACAUUCAUCCUAAAAAUGCAAAUAUGUCUUUAAACACAUACAA
RNAcentral lists this unclassified non-coding RNA (1653 nucleotides) under Harpegnathos saltator (Jerdon's jumping ant). Its description in RNAcentral is "probable ATP-dependent RNA helicase DDX49, transcript variant X1". The record is from RNAcentral. Lineage: Eukaryota; Metazoa; Arthropoda; Insecta; Hymenoptera; Formicidae.